This 225-nucleotide long non-coding RNA is filed under the name Panax ginseng (ginseng). Its description in RNAcentral is "long non-coding RNA (PGIN_LNC004158)". Lineage: Eukaryota; Viridiplantae; Streptophyta; Magnoliopsida; Apiales; Araliaceae. The record is from RNAcentral.
UUUGUUUAGAUCCGUGACAUGGGUUAAGAAAGCUUGACAUCCAUUUUUUAAUAAACGAAUAGUUUUAUGGCUUGAGAUGACAGUGAUUGAUUUUAAUGGUUUGGUUGCUUGAAUUCGCAUAAUAGGUUGGUUAGGAAUAUGAAAGCUAACAACCUUACGAAAAUAAUCAAUUUUUGCAUGAUGAGUAGUUAACCAAUCAAUCCCUAGAAUUACGUCAAAUGCAUG